CCUACGGGUGGCAGCAGUGGGGAAUAUUGCACAAUGGGGGAAACCCUGAUGCAGCAACGCCGCGUGAGUGAAGAAGUAUUUCGGUAUGUAAAGCUCUAUCAGCAGGGAAGAAAAUGGCAGUAACCUGAAAAAUAGCCACCGGCUAACUAGGUCCCAGCAGCCCCGGUAAUACGUAGGGGGCAAGCGUUAUCCGGAUUUACUGGGUGUAAGGGGAUCGUAGACGGAAAGGCAAGUCAGAAGUGAAAGCCCAGGGCUCAACCAUGGGACUGCUUUUGAACCUGUCGAGCUAGAGUACAGGAGAGGUAGGAAGAAUUCCUAGUGUAGCGGUGAAAUGCGUAGAGAUUAGGAGGAAAACCAGUGGCGAAGGCGUCUUACUGGACCGAAACUGACGUUGAGGCUCGAAAGCGUGGGGAGCAAACAGGAUUAGAUACCCUGGUAGUC
Molecule: ribosomal RNA, 441 nt
Filed under: uncultured bacterium
Lineage: Bacteria
Description: partial 16S ribosomal RNA
Rfam family: Bacterial small subunit ribosomal RNA
Source: RNAcentral